GGUGAAAUGCGUAGAUAUCUGGAGGAACAUCAGUGGCGAAGGCGACUCCCUGGCCAAAGACUGACGCUCAUGUGCGAAAGUGUGGGUAGCGAACAGGAUUAGAUACCCUGGUAGUCCACACCGUAAACGCUGUCUACUAGCUGUGUGUGUCUUUAAGACGUGCGUAGCGAAGCUAACGCGCUAAGUAGACCGCCUGGGGAGUACGGCCGCAAGGUUAAAACUCAAAUGAAUUGACGGGGGCCCGCACAAGCGGUGGAGCAUGUGGUUUAAUUCGAUGCAACGCGAAGAACCUUACCUACACUUGACAUGCUGAGAAGUUACUAGAGAUAGUUUCGUGCCUUCGGGAACUCAGACACAGGUGCUGCAUGGCUGUCGUCAGCUCGUGUCGUGAGAUGUUGGGUUAAGUCCCGCAACGAGCGCAACCCUUGUCCUUAGUUGCCAGCCUUAAGUUGGGCACUCUAAGGAGACUGCCCGGNUGACAAACCGGGAGGAAGGUGGGGACGACGUCAAGUUCAAUCAUGGCCCCUUACGUGGUAGGGCUACACACGCUGCUACAAUGG
Molecule: ribosomal RNA, 560 nt
Filed under: uncultured bacterium
Lineage: Bacteria
Description: bacterial SSU rRNA
Rfam family: Bacterial small subunit ribosomal RNA
Source: RNAcentral